Long non-coding RNA from Vicia villosa (hairy vetch), 3446 nucleotides. RefSeq lists it as uncharacterized. The transcript has 3 exons. NCBI's taxonomy places the organism in Eukaryota, Viridiplantae, Streptophyta, Magnoliopsida, Fabales, Fabaceae. The record is from RefSeq and is a predicted model, not a curated record.
AAAGGUAAUAAAAAACAGAAAUAAUUAUUCAUUGUCUGGGAAUUUCUCUUCUCCAACCCAAACCCUAACGCCGUCGACUUUCAUGGGCUCUCUCUGCUACCCCGUCAGUGAAGUUUUCCUGCAUCCAAAACUCAUCGAACAACACGUUUUCCUGCACCCAAUACUCAUCGAACGUUCAAUUCCUUAAAACUUAGAGUAUGUCGUCUCUCUCUCUCGGAUAAAUUCCUUUUAGGAUUUAAGCUAUCUCCUCUCCAGGUCGAUAACUCACUUCAAUUUGAUUUCAUGUGCAAAGAAUUAGUGGUCGGAAGAUAAUAUUUCUCCUAAUGUCUUCAUCUCGGAUACCUUAUUUUGCCUGUUCACUAUUGCGCAGGUGUGUAGGUUGUAUUCAUAUUGGUUUAUUAAUAUCUUGCUUAUUUUAGUUGUUUGAAUAAGUUAAAAUACAAUUUGUUUUAUCUCCAUCCAAUAGCCUACCCCCACUACUGUAGUGACAACAUCGAUUGUAGACGGUAGGAAAUCUAGUUCUGCAACAUUAUUAUUCCAUUGAAGUUCUCAAUUGUAAUAGAAAAAACAGAGUUACCAGGGUAUAUAUUAGUGUAUUAACUUCCUUAGUUCACAGUAAAGCAUGAUCCUUUUCAGACAUUGAUGGAAAAUAUGUUCAUAAAAUUCUUUGUUUUUGUUGAUUGAUGUUGUAAAUUCUAAUUGGCAGUGACUCUUGAGAGUUGUGGGAGUUGGUGACAAUAAAUCUCUGGUGGUUAUUGAUGAUUUAUUGAAUAAGUGUUUGGAUGAUAGUUUCUUGUUACAACUUUGUAGGCUCAAGCAUGUUGGAAUCAACACUUGCUGACAGUGGUAUAUAUCUAUGCUAGUUUGCAUAGCUUGUCUUGGUAGUGAUAUGAAUGUUUUUGCAAUUUCUUACGCUUACUGUUUGAUUAUAAUUCAAAGGACAAUGUCGUGUAUUUGCACAUCUGGAAUCCCAAGAAAAUAUUGUAGAGAUUGCAUCUCAACUUGGUAAAAAAUCGUUUUUAAGUGACUUAACAAGCGUUUUCUUCUAGUGUAGCCAUCUUUGUUUCAUUGUUCCUUUUCAAUGAACUUGUUUCUAUUUGUAUACACAUGAAGCUAACAUAUUUGGAAUUGAGUUAUUUUUUUAACAGCAAAAGGGCUGCUAUGAAGUCCAUCCUGUAUCCCUAUAAAUAUGUCUUUUCUGGAUUUGAUGCGGUUAUGAGUCAGUCUCAAGCUAAGCUCAUUGCAGGUAUUCUGUAGCUUAACCAUAGCAAGACCAGUCACAUUAUGUGCAAAGCAUUGUAUAAUACUUUUAAAAUAAGUUUUAAGAAAAUUCUCUUUAUGUCUGCAUUUUUUUGAUAUGCAGAUUUCCCCGACGUUGUCCGCGUGAUUCCUAAUAAGAUUCUUAGUCUUCACACAAUAAGAAGCUGGGAUUUCUUGCACGUAAAGCAGGAUAUAGUAACUGGUGUUCUUUCUAGAGCCUAAUCUGGAAGAGGCACAAUCAUUGCCAUCAUAGACACUGGUUACUUUGUAUAACACAACUCUAUAAUAACUAUAAGAAAGUGUUUGAUGAGACUAUAGUCAUAAAGUGUGAUUGUUGUCAUAUAAUUCUUUGCUCUAUUAGGUAUCUGGCCUGAGUCUCAUAGCUUUAGAGAUGAUCGCAUGGAUAAUCCUCCUCCUCCUCGAUGGCAUGGAAUAUGUUAAGAAGGCGAAAAUUUUGACAGCUCCCACUGUAAUAGGUUCAUAGCUGAUUACAAAUUUAUUUCUAGUCAUUUUAUCCUACAGUAUAUGGAGAAGAUAUAGCAACUUCAUAUGCAAGUAAAGAAAGUACAAGAAGAUGUGAAUCAGGAAGUUUUAAUUCCUCCUUAGCUAAGGGAAAAGCAAUUCUAUGUUUUCAGUCUCGGUCGUGGUGAUUGGUAAUGGCUGCUACAAGAAGUGUAAUGGAAGCUUAGGCUAUUGGUCUCAUAUAUGCUCAAUUUCCAACUAAAGAUGUUGAUAUGUGUAAGGAUAUACCCUCUGCCCAAGUUGAUUUCAUAGCAGGAACAAAAACUCUAUCAUACCUGGAAACUACUAGGAAUCCAAGUUGAUUUCAUAGUAAGAACAAAAAUUCUAUCAUACCUGGAAGCUUCUAAGUAAAUACUCUUGAAAACCAACAUCUAUUUUUCUAUGCUUAGUCUAUAAAAUAUUAAAUAAUGAUGUUCUAUUUUAAAAAUAUUAGCUGUCAAAUUUGUACUAUUUAGUUUCUUCUGUGUAACAAAUAGUUAGUUGUGUUAAGGAUAAUGAAUUUCGACUUUGUGACAUUUAAUUUGGCCUUACUUCUUUAUGAUUUGUUUCUAGCUAUGAUCUUUAGGCAAUUAUUUACAGUACCUUUUUUAUUACUUGUCAUAUUUGGAUAUACAUUUUGCAGAAUAUUUGAUAUGACAAAAUAUAUUUUUACGAUAAAAAAAUUAUUUUAAAAAAAAUCCCAACUUUUUAGGUCAGUUAUAAAUGGUUUCAGAUCUUUUUGAAAGCCUAGACUUCUUAAGCCGGUUAUCUUUUAACCGACCUAAUAAAAGUUUCUUAUGUCAGGUCCAAAUCCGACUUAAGAAGUCAAAGCUUCUUAUGUCGGUAAUUCUUAGGUCAGGCUCGAAACCGUCUUAAGAAGUCAUUUUUAACCGACUUAACAAGUGUUUUUUCUACUAGUGACGCAACCAACAGGCUGGGGGAAUUCUGAUCUCCACACCAGCAUCACAACCACAACGUAAACAUAACGCGCCUAAAAGACAAUUCACAAAGAUCAACAUGACUUUGGCUGAAGCGUUGCAACAGAUGCUGAAAAAAGGGCUAGUUACUUUGAGGGAUCCUCCUCGGAAUCCUAACACUUUGUCUCAUUAGUAUAAUCCUAAUGCAAGAUGUGCUUAUCACUCCGACAACAUUGGACAUGACACUAAUGAUUGCUGGCUAUUGAAGAAUAAGAUCCAAGAUCUAAUCGAAGGCAAGACCAUUGACUUCCACUUACCUGAGAAAUCUCAUGUGGCUAAUGUUGUGUACAAUCAGAAAGGUCGCAAUGAACACAACCAAUAUGUGGGGACAAUCCUGACCUUCACACCAGUUCCACAACAAGGACGCGAGUCAGAUGCACCUAAGCGUUAGUUCACAAAGAUCAAUUUGUCACUGGCUCGGGCAUUACAAUAUCUGCUGAAAGCAAACUUGAUUAUUGUAAAGGAUCCUCCCGUGAAUCCCAACACUUCCUCUCCUCGCUAUAACCCCAACGCGAGAUGUGCGUAUCAUUCCAUUAGCCCUGGACAUGACACCGACAAUUGCUGGACUUUGAGAAACAAGAUUCAAGACAUGAUCGGUGCUGGUGAAAUUGAAUUCAAUCAUCCUAAGACUCCUGUAGUGAUCACCGUUCCCAUGCCUAAUCACGACAAGAUCGAUAAAUGUCUAGAAGGAUGAACUUUUUAGAUCAU